UACGAAGGGGGCUAGCGUUGCUCGGAAUUACUGGGCGUAAAGCGCACGUAGGCGGCUCGUUAAGUCGGGGGUGAAAUCCUGGAGCUCAACUCCAGAACUGCCUUCGAUACUGGCGAGCUUGAGUUCGGGAGAGGUGAGUGGAACUGCGAGUGUAGAGGUGAAAUUCGUAGAUAUUCGCAAGAACACCAGUGGCGAAGGCGGCUCACUGGACCGGCAUUGACGCUGAGGUGCGAGAGCGUGGGGAGCAAACAGG
This 253-nucleotide ribosomal RNA is filed under the name uncultured bacterium. RNAcentral describes it as "partial 16S ribosomal RNA". It matches the Rfam family "Bacterial small subunit ribosomal RNA", at positions 524 to 776 of the family's 1533-position model. The record is from RNAcentral.